GAUGAACGCUGGCGGCGUGCCUAAUACAUGCAAGUCGAGCGAACAGACGAGGAGCUUGCUCCUCUCACGUUAGCCGCGGACGGGUGUGUCACACGUGUAUAACCCACCUAUAAGACUGGGAUCACUUCGGGAAACCGGAGCUAAUACCGGAUAAUCUAUUGAACCGCAUGGUUCAAUAGUGAAAUACGGUGUUUCUGUCUCUUCUCGCUGGAUCCCCGCCGCAUUGGCUAGUUGGUAAGGUAACGGCUUAUCAAGGCGACGAUGCGUAGCCGACCUGAGAGGGUGGUCGGCCACACUGGAAGGUAGACACGGUCCAGACGCCUGCGAGAGGCAGCAGUAGGGAACGUGACGCAAUGGGCGAAAGCAUGGCGGAGCAGCGGCACGUGAGUGAUGAAAAUCUUCGGAUCGUAAAAAUCUGUUAUUAGUGAAAAACAGAUGUGUACGUAACUAUGCACGUCUUGACGGUACCUGAUCAGAAAGCCACGGCUAACUACGUG
This 497-nucleotide ribosomal RNA is filed under the name uncultured bacterium. RNAcentral's name for it is "partial 16S ribosomal RNA". It matches the Rfam family "Bacterial small subunit ribosomal RNA", at positions 28 to 507 of the family's 1533-position model. The record is from RNAcentral.